This 449-nucleotide ribosomal RNA is filed under the name uncultured bacterium. Its description in RNAcentral is "partial 16S ribosomal RNA". It matches the Rfam family "Bacterial small subunit ribosomal RNA", at positions 29 to 523 of the family's 1533-position model. The record is from RNAcentral.
AAUGAACGCUGGCGGCAGGCCUAACACAUGCAAGUCGAACGGAUCCUUCGGGAUUAGUGGCGGACGGGUGAGUAACGCGUGGGAACAUACCCUUUGGUAAGGAAUAGCCUCGGGAAACUGGGAGUAAUACCGUAUGUGGUCGAGAGACGAAAGAUUUAUCGCCAAAGGAUUGGCCCGCGUUGGAUUAGGUAGUUGGUGGGGUAAUGGCCUACCAAGCCGACGAUCCAUAGCUGGUUUGAGAGGAUGAUCAGCCACACUGGGACUGAGACACGGCCCAGACUCCUACGGGAGGCAGCAGUUGGGAAUCUUAGACAAUGGGGGAAACCCUGAUCUAGCCAUGCCGCGUGAUCGAUGAAGGCCUUAGGGUUGUAAAGAUCUUUCAGGUGGGAAGAUAAUGACUGUACCACCAGAAGAAGCCCCGGCUAACUCCGUGCCAGCAGCCGCGGUAA